GACGGAGGGUGCAAGCGUUGUUCGGAUUGACUGGGCGUAAAGGGCGUGUAGGCGGUUGGUCAAGUCCGAUGUGAAAGCCCGGGGCUCAGCUUCGGAAGUGCAUCGGAAACUAGCCAGCUGGAGCGCGAUAGAGGAGGGCGGAAUUCCUGGUGUAGCGGUGAAAUGCGUAGAGAUCCGGAGGAACCCCAGAGGCGAAGGCGGCCCCCUGGCUCGUACCUGACGCUCAGCCACGAAAGCAUGGGGAGCGAACGGG
RNAcentral lists this ribosomal RNA (253 nucleotides) under uncultured bacterium. RNAcentral's name for it is "partial 16S ribosomal RNA". It matches the Rfam family "Bacterial small subunit ribosomal RNA", at positions 524 to 776 of the family's 1533-position model. The record is from RNAcentral.